This 327-nucleotide ribosomal RNA is filed under the name uncultured bacterium. RNAcentral describes it as "bacterial SSU rRNA". It matches the Rfam family "Bacterial small subunit ribosomal RNA", at positions 568 to 897 of the family's 1533-position model. The record is from RNAcentral.
UACGCAGGCGGCUUGGUAAGACAGAUGUGAAAUCCCCGGGCUUAACCUGGGAACUGCAUUUGUGACUGCCAGGCUCGAGUCUGUCAGAGGGGGUGGAAUUCCACGUGUAGCAGUGAAAUGCGUAGAGAUGUGGAGGAACACCGAUGGCGAAGGCAGCCCCCUGGGAUGAGACUGACGCUCAUGUACGAAAGCGUGGGGAGCAAACAGGAUUAGAUACCCUGGUAGUCCACGCCCUAAACGAUGUCGACUAGUUGUCGGGAAUUUAUUUCUCGGUAACGCAGCUAACGCGUGAAGUCGACCGCCUGGGGAGUACGGUCGCAAGAUUAA